GACGAACGCUGGCGGCGUGCUUAACACAUGCAAGUCGAGCGGUAAGGCCCUUUCGGGGGUACACGAGCGGCGAACGGGUGAGUAACACGUGGGUGACCUGCCCUCAGCUCUGGGAUAAGCCUGGGAAACUUGGUCUAAUACCGGAUAUGACUCCAUGACGCAUGUUGUGGGGUGGAAAGCCUUGUGCGGCUGAGGAUGGGCCCGCGGCCUAUCAGCUUGUUGGUGGGGUGANGGCCUACCAAGGCGACGACGGGUAGCCGGCCUGAGAGGGCGACCGGCCACACUGGGACUGAGACACGGCCCAGACUCCUACGGGAGGCAGCAGUGGGGAAUCUUGCGCAAUGGGCGAAAGCCUGACGCAGCGACGCCGCGUGAGGGAUGACGGCCU
RNAcentral lists this ribosomal RNA (388 nucleotides) under uncultured bacterium. RNAcentral describes it as "bacterial SSU rRNA". It matches the Rfam family "Bacterial small subunit ribosomal RNA", at positions 28 to 417 of the family's 1533-position model. The record is from RNAcentral.